CGGACGGCUCAGUAACACGUAGUCAACCUAACUCGUGGACGUGGAUAACCUCGGGAAACUGAGAAUAAACCACGAUAGAUCAUAGUGCCUGGAGUGGCUUAUGGUCCAAACAGUUUACUGCCAUGGGAUGGGACUGCGGCCUAUCCGCUUGUUGGUGAGGUAAUGGCCCACCAAGGCGAUUACAGGUACGGGCUCUGAGAGGAGAAGCCCGGAGAUGGGUACUGAGACACGGACCCAGGCCCUAUGGGGCGCAGCAGGCGAGAAACCUUAGCAAUGUGCGAAAGCACGACUGGGUCAGUCCGAGUGAUUCCUGAUAAAGGAGUCUUUUGCUUGUCCUAAAAGCACAGGUGAAUAAGGGGUGGGCAAGUCUGGUGUCAGCCGCCGCGGUAAUACCAGCACCUCGAGUGGUCAGGACGUUUAUUGGGCCUAAAGCAUCCGUAGCCGGCUCUGCAAGUCUUCGGUUAAAUCCACCUGCUCAACAGAUGGGCCGCUGGAGAUACUACAGAGCUAGGGAGUGGGAGAGGCAGACGGUAUUCAGUGGGUAGGGGUAAAAUCCUCUGAUCCAUUGAGGACCACCAGUGGCGAAGGCGGUCUGCCAGAACACGUUCGACGGUGAGGGAUGAAAGCUGGGGGAGCAAACC
This 641-nucleotide ribosomal RNA is filed under the name uncultured archaeon. RNAcentral's name for it is "bacterial SSU rRNA". It matches the Rfam family "Archaeal small subunit ribosomal RNA", at positions 82 to 725 of the family's 1478-position model. The record is from RNAcentral.